This 822-nucleotide ribosomal RNA is filed under the name uncultured archaeon. RNAcentral describes it as "bacterial SSU rRNA". It matches the Rfam family "Archaeal small subunit ribosomal RNA", at positions 43 to 867 of the family's 1478-position model. The record is from RNAcentral.
AUUAAGCCUUGUUAGUCGUACGGGUUAGACCCGGGGAAGAUAGUUCAGUACCAUUUGGCCAUUCUACCUUGUAGCCCCUGACUUCUUCGGCCUUUUGAGGCCAAUCGGGAAUACGGGUCCCUUGUUGGAACGCCGGGACCCCUAAACGGUCCGCCGUUACAGGAUGAGGUUGCGGCCAAUUAGGUUGACGGGGGGGUAACGGCCCACCGGGCCAAUAAUCGGUACGGGGGGUGAAAGAACAAGCCCGAAAACGGAUUCUAAAACAAAAUUUCGGGCCCUACGGGGGGCAGCAGGGGCAAAACUUUUACACUGCACGCACGUGCAAUAAGGGAACUCCAAGGGCGAGGGCUUAUAGUCCUCGUUUUUCUGAACCGUAGGGAGGUUCAGGAACAAAAGUUGGGCAAGACCGGUGCCAGCCGCCGCGUUAUUACCGGCAGUUCGAGUGAUGACCGAUCUUAUUGGGCCUAAAGCGUCCGUAGCCGGCCGGCCAAGUCCGUCGGAAAAUCUGUUCGUUCAACAAGCAGGCGUCCGGCGAAAACCAGUCGGUUUGGGGCCGGAAAACCCAAGGGGUACGUCCGGGGUAGAAGUGAAAUCCCGUAUUCCCGGACGGACCGCCGGUGGCAAAAGCGCCUCGGAAAGACGGACCCGACGGGGAGGAACAAAAGCUAGGGUCACGAACCGAAUAAAAUACCCGGGUAGUCCUAGCCGUAAACGAUGUUCGCUAGGUGCGCCACCGGUUACAAGCCCGGGUGGUGCCGCAGGGAAGCCGCUAAGCGAACCGCUUGGAAAAGUCGUCCGCAAGGAUGAAAUUCAAAGGAAUUG